This is a long non-coding RNA of Ahaetulla prasina, 944 nucleotides long. RefSeq lists it as uncharacterized. Lineage: Eukaryota; Metazoa; Chordata; Lepidosauria; Squamata; Colubridae. The record is from RefSeq and is a predicted model, not a curated record. The transcript has 3 exons.
UAAGGGUGACAGGAUCACACUAUUCUAAUAUUUGAGGGGCUGCCCCAAAGAAGAGGGGGUCAAGCUAUUCUCCAAACCACCUGAAGGCAGGACAAGAAGGAACGGAUGGAAACUAACCAAGGAGAGAGAGAAGCAACCUGGAAAUGAAGGAGAAACUUCCUAACGGCUGCCCCUUGGAAGUUGGAGGGCACGGAGUCUGUUCAGAUGGGGGUCUUCCUUGUCUGGCUUUAAGGAAGGGACCGUCCUCAAAACUGGUUUGGCUUCAGUAGCUGAGAGUAAAAAGGCCGAGAUGGCCUGUGAUUCCUGGCUUUAAACUGGCUUCUGGUUUUUCGUUGUCUUAACGGGCGACACGAUAGCAGUCUUCCAAUAUUUGAGGGGCUGCUCCAAAGAAGAAGGGGUCCAUCUAUUUUCCAAAGCACCAGAAGGCAGGACAAGAAGCGAUGGAUGGAAACUCAUCAAGGGGAGAAGCAACCGGGAAAUGAAGGAGAAACUUUCUGACGAUUAGAACAAGUAACCAAGUGGAACGACUUGCCUCCAGAAGUUGUGAAUGCUCCAAUACUGGAGAUUUUUUAAGAAGAGAUUGGACAGCCAUUUGGCUGAAAUGGUUUAGGGUUUUCAGCCUGAGCUGGGGGUUGGACUAGAAGACCUCCAAGGUCCCUUCCAAUCCUGUUAUUCUGUUUCGGGGAAAACACACUAGGCUGUCGAAAGUAAUGCAAAUAGUUCGGUCUACAAUUAUUUUGUGUGUGUGUGUGUGUGUGUCCUUUUUCUUUCAUUAGACAUGUCCAGGAACUAUUUCAGGAUAGAAUUCCUCGUGUUGGCGCCCUUUGGUUUGCAACUCCUCUCCUGGUUGAAGAUUAUGGGUGAGGUACUCUGACACUCCUGGCCGACCUCAAUCCAGAGGUGGGUUGCUAGAGACGCCUGGGGUUCCCUUCCCUUGGAAUCAA